GAUGAAGAACGCAGCGAAAUGCGAUACGUAAUGUGAAUUGCAGAAUUCAGUGAAUCAUCGAAUCUUUGAACGCAUAUUGCGCUCUCUGGUAUUCCGGAGAGCAUGCUUGUUUGAGUAUCAGUAAACACCUCAACUUCCAUAUCUUUUUUGAAAUGGGAGUUGGACUUGAGUGAUCCCAACGCUUUUCCUCACCGAAAAGUGGCGGGUUACUUGAAAUGCAGGUGCAGCUGGACUUCUCUCUGAGCUAUAAGCAUAUCUAUUUAGUCUGCCUAAAAAACAGAUUAUUACCUUUGCUGCAGCUAACAUAAAGGAGAUUAGUUCUUGUGCUGACUGAUGCAGGAUUCACAAAGACGGCUUCGGCCGACUUUGUAAACUCGAUCUCAAAUCAAGUAAGACUACCCGCUGAACUUAAGCAUAUCAAUAAGCGGAGGA
Molecule: unclassified non-coding RNA, 432 nt
Filed under: soil metagenome
Description: partial contains 5.8S ribosomal RNA, internal transcribed spacer 2, and large subunit ribosomal RNA
Rfam family: 5.8S ribosomal RNA (bases 1-120)
Source: RNAcentral